AUAAUUUGCACAUGUCAUCACACUAGGUAGGUCAGCGUCGACCCAAACACUGCAACUCUUCCGAACGAUUGUUAACUUUGGGCUAAGAGAUGCCAGACCCCCUGGAGGCAGUCUAGGUGCACCAGUGACAAACUGCAGGAAUGCUCUCUGUUGCUUGCUGUCAAAUUCCUUCAUAAUUUCAAGUAAAUUUAAAACUGGAGGACUGUUGGCAGUGUACCCAUGGUCAAACUUGAUGUGAUCCAGAAGCUCAUUGGAGUUCCAGAAUCCACACUCUCCGCACAAUAGUCUCUCUAAUUCAUCUUCAGUGAAAACCUGAAGAUGUCUGAUGGGGAAAACCUGAUCAAAGCCCGACUUGAAUGCUCCAAUUUGUCUUAAAAUUCCAGAAUUCA
This 389-nucleotide unclassified non-coding RNA is filed under the name Hevea brasiliensis (rubber tree). Lineage: Eukaryota; Viridiplantae; Streptophyta; Magnoliopsida; Malpighiales; Euphorbiaceae. The record is from RNAcentral.